AUGAACAUAUCUUUAAAACAAUUUUUGUCAGAUGAGUGAAUCAAUGAAGAGCCAAACCAUCUUUAUAAACUUUAAAGUUCAACUUCUCUCUUUUAUGAUCAUUUUCCCUUUGGCUCAGGCAUCAGUAGUUCCUGGUGUCAGAUUUUUAGUAUGAUGCAAAUGACUGAAGCUACAAAUCACUGUCAAUGGCAUGUGCAGAGUAAGCUACCCUAACACCAAGUAGGUGGCAGUCAAAGAUAAGAAAACGCAGGGCUCUAAGAAAACGAGA
Long non-coding RNA from Alosa alosa (allis shad), 268 nucleotides. RefSeq lists it as uncharacterized. The transcript is spliced from 2 exons. NCBI's taxonomy places the organism in Eukaryota, Metazoa, Chordata, Actinopteri, Clupeiformes, Clupeidae. The record is from RefSeq and is a predicted model, not a curated record.